CACGAUUUUUCAAUUGAUUGACUUCUUUCUUUUUUUUCUUUUUUAAAGAGAAUGACAUUGAGUGAAUUAAGGGAUAUAAUAUAAUUAUCUUAAUUAAGGGAUAUAAUAUAAUUAUCUAUGGAAGAAGUUCACUCUAAUUCUGUAUAUAUUUAUAUAUAUCAAAAUCUUUAUCUUAUGUACUAACUAAACUAAACUCUAAAUAUAAAAAAAAAUUAAUUAAAGUUCUAAUUCUUCUCCAACUCAAUCAAUUAUCUCCUCACAACUAACCUCAAACCCAUCCUUCCGCACCAUCGCAUACAACCUCGCCGCCUCUGUGAGCCUCCGGUCCGCCGCGCUUCACCGCUGCUCUUAGUCUUUUUUCCGGUCGCCGCCUCCCCUCUUCGAAGGCCAGUUAGUUUUGAUUCUCGCUUCGUCUGUUAAUAAGCUUGCUAUCUCAAAUUUUGUGCGCCACUAUGGAGCUUAAUAAAUUGGAACUUCCUCCCACGGUGGACGUAACAGUGUUUUCUUAUAGUAAAGUGUAUCUAUUUAUUCGUCGUUUGCGUAUUUUGAGAAAAGGAAUAAAUAAUACUAAUAAUAUGGAAAGAUAUGUGAUUAUGAAGUACAGUGGCACUAUUUAUCUUGGUUACAAGACAACCCACACAGACUCAGUCCCUUAGGUGGAUGCGACAUGAAUCCUUUGCUUCUAAUGUCAACUACUGAAAGACACAUAUGAAAGUUUUGUGGUCCUAUUAAUUUGGAAAUCUUAACCUUUUUUUCUGAAAAAUGUUAUAAUUUUCAUCCAAGUUCAAAGUGGAUAUGUAUCAGUGCAAUGAUUGAUCUUGGUGAUAAACUCUGAUCUCUGAUUCAUCUUAUCUAUACAGGUAUAUAUACGAUCCUUGAAUUCUUCUGUUUGGUAUCUUGAUAUUUUUUGCUGUUAAGAUGGCUGGAUUAUGCGGCAACUUUAUAGAUUGGAGUAGUUACAGUGCGAAAGAUUAAAAAAAAUACUUUUUUUCUUGCUAAUCUGAAUAUAUUUGUGGGAUGAAUAUGUUAGGCAUGGAAAAUUGUGUUCAUGUGAAAUGAAUUUUGAUCGUGUAUUUGUUAAUCCAUAAAGAAAUAAGUUCAAUUGAGUUUUGACAAGGAGAAUUUUGAAAUAAGAAAAUGGUGUCCAAGGAGAUCCUUUUUUUUUUUUUUUUCUCACGAGAAUCAUAUAUUCUGCUCCGAACAUAGACAUGUUUGUAGAAUUUGGAACACUGGACCUUUUAUGAGCAGCUUAGAGCUCAAAGAAUUGCUAAUGAGGUAUAUAGACAAAGAAGAAAUCUACAAAAGCAAAAGAAACGUAAACGAAAUGCAAGUGAUUUGAAUUGUUGGCAUCAAAACAUUAAAAAGAUUGAUCCAACGUCUUCAGUUCGUAGCACAAAU
This is a long non-coding RNA of Salvia miltiorrhiza (redroot sage), 1398 nucleotides long. RefSeq lists it as uncharacterized. The transcript is spliced from 3 exons. The record is from RefSeq and is a predicted model, not a curated record. NCBI's taxonomy places the organism in Eukaryota, Viridiplantae, Streptophyta, Magnoliopsida, Lamiales, Lamiaceae.